This 465-nucleotide ribosomal RNA is filed under the name uncultured bacterium. Its description in RNAcentral is "bacterial SSU rRNA". It matches the Rfam family "Bacterial small subunit ribosomal RNA", at positions 338 to 795 of the family's 1533-position model. The record is from RNAcentral.
CCUACGGGAUGCAGCAGUGGGGAAUAUUGCACAAUGGGCGCAAGCCUGAUGCAGCCAUGCCGCGUGUAUGAAGAAGGCCUUCGGGUUGUAAAGUACUUUCAGCGAGGAGGAAGGUGUUGUGGUUAAUAACCGCAGCAAUUGACGUUACCCGCAGAAGAAGCACCGGCUAACUCCGUGCCAGCAGCCGCGGUAAUACGGAGGGUGCAAGCGUUAAUCGGAAUUACUGGGCGUAAAGCGCACGCAGGCGGUCUGUCAAGUCGGAUGUGAAAUCCCCGGGCUCAACCUGGGAACUGCAUUCGAAACUGGCAGGCUAGAGUCUUGUAGAGGGGGGUAGAAUUCCAGGUGUAGCGGUGAAAUGCGUAGAGAUCUGGAGGAAUACCGGUGGCGAAGGCGGCCCCCUGGACAAAGACUGACGCUCAGGUGCGAAAGCGUGGGGAGCAAACAGGAUUAGAUACCCGCGUAGUC